GACGAACGCUGGCGGCGUGCUUAACACAUGCAAGUCGAACGGAAAGGCCCUGCUUUUGUGGGGUGCUCGAGUGGCGAACGGGUGAGUAACACGUGAGUAACCUGCCCUUGACUUUGGGAUAACUUCAGGAAACUGGGGCUAAUACCGGAUAGGAGCUCCUGCUGCAUGGUGGGGGUUGGAAAGUUUCGGCGGUUGGGGAUGGACUCGCGGCUUAUCAGCUUGUUGGUGGGGUAGUGGCUUACCAAGGCUUUGACGGGUAGCCGGCCUGAGAGGGUGACCGGCCACAUUGGGACUGAGAUACGGCCCAGACUCCUACGGGAGGCAGCAGUGGGGAAUAUUGCACAAUGGGCGGGAGCCUGAUGCAGAAACGCCGCGUGCGGGAUGACGGCCUUCGGGUUGUAAACCGCUUUCGCCUGUGACGAAGCGUGAGUGACGGUAAUGGGUAAAGAAGCACCGGCUAACUACGUG
Molecule: ribosomal RNA, 468 nt
Filed under: uncultured bacterium
Lineage: Bacteria
Description: partial 16S ribosomal RNA
Rfam family: Bacterial small subunit ribosomal RNA
Source: RNAcentral